Molecule: transfer RNA, 71 nt
Filed under: Loxodonta africana (African savanna elephant)
Lineage: Eukaryota; Metazoa; Chordata; Mammalia; Proboscidea; Elephantidae
Rfam family: tRNA
About the family: Transfer RNA (tRNA) molecules are approximately 80 nucleotides in length. Their secondary structure includes four short double-helical elements and three loops (D, anti-codon, and T loops).
Source: Rfam by way of RNAcentral
GCAGUGAUGGCUCAAUGGUAGAGUUCUUACCUUCCAUGUAGGAGACCUUGGUUCAAUUUCCAGCCAGUGUA